RNAcentral lists this ribosomal RNA (312 nucleotides) under Triticum aestivum (bread wheat). RNAcentral's name for it is "partial small subunit ribosomal RNA". The record is from RNAcentral. Lineage: Eukaryota; Viridiplantae; Streptophyta; Magnoliopsida; Poales; Poaceae.
AUGUCUGAUCUUGGCUCUCUUCGCUACUUUCUUGGGAUUGGGGUCUCUUCGACCUCUGACGCCUUUUUUAUUUCCCAAGAAAAGUAUACCCAGCAUCUUGCUCGUGCUGCUCUUACUGAUGAGCGCACUGUUGAGACUCCCAUGGAGCUCAAUGUUCACCUCCGUGCUUCUCAUGGUGACCCCUUGUCUAAUCCGGCGCUUUAUCGUCAUCUUGUUGGGACUCUUGUUGAUUUAGCUGUCACUCGUUCGGGUAUCUCCUAUCCUGUUCAUGUUUUGAGUCAGUUUGUUUUUGUGCCUACUUUGGUUCACUAG